Molecule: long non-coding RNA, 2781 nt
Filed under: Gallus gallus (chicken)
Lineage: Eukaryota; Metazoa; Chordata; Aves; Galliformes; Phasianidae
Description: long non-coding RNA NONGGAT004733
Source: RNAcentral
CGAGAGGGCAAGGACUGCUCUUUAUCGGUAUUAAAUGCACUUCAUCUGGAGGUCCUCAGAAACAUAGGCAUCUUAAAUACGUGAAAACAUACAUUUUACACAAACAACAUUAAAGGUGCUGAACAAACAAUUUACAGAUUAAAGAGAGCCGCACUUUGGACAGGAGAAGCAUAAUUUUACUUCAGGCUAAAAGAUACUACGCUUAAUGGCCAAUAGCCAAAGUCAGGGCUGGUGGCUCCUAUCAGAGCUGCUCUGCACCGCUCUGCUGGCAGAUGGGGGAGCGGGACAGGAAUGGGGAAGGAACCCCGGUGUGAGACAGCAGUGUGAAGGCAGGGCACGGGGCUCUCCUCACAGCAUCCCCCCCCCUGCUUCCUAGAAGGUUCUACAAUAAGUAGCAAUAAAUCCCAUGCAGUCUCUGUGUUUAUACCCUUAUAGGUAAAAAUCUGGUUGUAGUUUAAUUUGUUGCAGAACAGUGCUUCAGCAGUCUGAGAACUGUGUUUUUUUUUCUUUUUUAUUACUCUGUGUAUUGCACAGAUCUCUACAGAACCCUGUUUCAUUCAUCCUUCCACUGAAGCAGAGAACUACCCCAGGCAGAGCCAGGACAAGGCCAGGACCAGCAAUGCCUGCAGGCAUUUUGGCUCAGCACUUUAUGCUCCAUUAAGAUACCUGUAGGCUAUGAUCUUUCUGAUCAUAUGAGGGAGAACAAAAAGCUGAUAUGAAUAUACAGCUGUUUCAGGAAGUGGAACUUCUCCCAUCCUGCCAUACUUUACCAUUUUUGAAGAAAAAGUCCCAAAAUUUGAAAUUAAAAUUAGUUCAAAGGACAUAACUCCACCCUGCUGGACUUCUGUUAUUAACUGCUAUUAUGUGAUGGAAGCAGUGUCACAGAAGAUUUAGGCAUGCUGAAGAAAGGAAAAUCUCCAGGGGUCCCAUUUCUUCCCCCAUCCACUUCAGUCCAUCUCUGGAACAGCUUUAUGUAGAAGCAGAAGUAACCAAUUCUACUUCGGGCUACCAUGAAGGUAAAUUUGUGCCAGUUGUCCGUAUUUGCUCCUCUGUUAUGCAGAUUUUGAACACAACACCAAUACGCAAGAAGAAUUUCCGUAGCACAGCUCGAAGCUCAGGAAUCAGGUCAAAUUGCAUGAUUUCACACAAGUAUGGAUAAUAAGUUGAAGCAUGUGCCUUAAACUAUCAGGAAAGAUAUGAAAAAAGAAAAUUAUUCUCUAUUAUUAUAGGAAAGUGCUGAGUUUUUUCCACACACAUGGCUACACCAACUUGUUAGAAUACAAGGCCUUACAAAUCAAAGGCCCUACUGAAUGGCCAAAUAGCCAUCAAGCCCACUGUCUGUUUUCCAAAGCAGCCUUAGUGAAUGCCUACAGUUAUAAAACAUCAAAGCUUGUUUUAUCCUCCUUUCCUUUCCUAAUAAUGCUGAGUGUUAGUUUUUGAGUUUCUACGUAGACACGCAGUGAUAGGACAAGGGGAAAUGGUUUUAAACUAAAAGAGGGGAGAUUUAUAUUAGAUAUUAGGAAGGAGUUCUUUUACUCAGAGGGUAGUGAGGCCCUGGCACUGCUGCCAGAGAAACCAUGGGUGCCCCAUCCCUGGAGCUGCUCAAGACUAGGGUGGAUGGGGCUCUGGGCAGCCUGAGCUGUUGGUGGCAACCAGCCCACGUCAGGGGUGUUAGAACUGGAUGAUCUUUAUGGUCCAUUCCAAUACCAGGCAUUCUAUGAUUCUACAGAGAAAACGGAGGAGACACUUUUGCUGCAAAAUCUUUACAGUAUGAAGAUACUGAGAUUAGGUACCAACAAAUCAGUACCUUGCCAUUUUAUCUACAUAUUUUCAUAGCACACCACAACCACAUGGACAUCUCUGAACUGCUGCUAUGCGGAAAAACCAAAUCACCACUAACAUCCUUUUCUUCAAACAUUGGUGAGUUGCAAUAAAACACAGAAGACUAAGCAGAAGUGAUGUGGAAUCACAUAUUUUGCAAUACAAGGAACAUACAAAAAAACACCAACACAAAAACCCACACUUUUGAACUAUAUCCUUUUUAAAAUUGACAAACAACAAAAAAAUACCCACAAACUUAAGCAACCUCUAGAAGUUUCUCUGCAUGAGAUAUUCUAGGGAUGUAUGCAUUCACAUUUUCCUCAGAAAGGCUAAGAUUCUAAAGAUUAUUUUUUUGCCAUCACUGUCAAGGAACUAAAAUUACAGUUGCAGAAUGAUGAAAUUUACCUCUACCAUUCUGUGCUGCUGUAAUACACCGUAAGCACAUCCUUUACUGCACACUCACAGUGCUUUAUAUGAAAGAUCUGCAGUAAUAUUUCCACACAACUGAGUUUCAUGGAUGUAGUCCCAUUUUUACAAUGUGAAAUUCUUGCCAAAAGAAAGGAAGCGUAACAACUCCUACAUUCCAAGGAGAGUACAUACUAUAUGAAUGAGCAAAUUAGCCAUCUUGCAGUAUGUAUGACAAAGAAUGAAUUCAAUGAAAGCAGAAAUGAAAACACCUGACUGCAAACAGACAUAGCAUCCAGCCCAUUCUUACCUUUUCAUCACUGAUUUUUAGUGUUUUUGUUAAAAGCAGCAGCAGGAGAUUGGUCCAAGCUUCUCUGUGGCUUUCUGAGUUCACAGUAAUAAAAUAUGCCAGGGCUUCACUGCAUACACUGAAGAGAUUCCAAGUUCAAACAAACCACAAGGAAAACCCACAAUAAGUUUUUGUUACAUGCCCUAUUAGUCCUCUCACAGUGUAUCCUGUUUACACAUAAGAUGCAUUUCCAUGGAAAAGUUUUC